CUCAAAGAUUAAGCCAUGCAAGUGGUUAUAUUAACCCGACAGUUUAAAUAAGUGUUAAAUGCUACCAUUAUCUUAUCAUAUAUCACGCAUAGACCGAUUUUGUUUACAGUAGUAACAAUUUCAGCGUGAAUCACCCAUCACACAGUGAAUCACUGAAAUUUACCCAAUAUCAGUAUCACUUACGCAACUGCAGACAGCUGCUUAAUACAGUCACACUUGUCUUGACUUGGCGCAAUAAAAAUUUUCAUUGAAACACCCGUUCUGCGGGAAGAUCGGUGAUCAUUUUUGUUUUGUUGCAUUCACGCAUACAAAAUUUUUUGAUUUCUCUGUAUCGCUUAUUCUUAAGGACAACGCGUUACACCGUGACAAAUUUCUUUAUGGAUAACUCAGGGAAAGUUUGGCUAAUACGUACGAGUACAUUUUUUUCUACACACACACACACACUCAAAUUAUUUUUGUAUUGCUGUGUAUCAACUACUACUCAGCACUCAAUGGUAAACUUUGGCUGCGCUUGCGCGGUCAGUUUAAAGUUUAACUGCAACAUGAGAGACAUUGAGCACGCACGUGUUGUGUCUUCGGACGCUCCACAUCACGCUGAGCAGACUUUGCGAAGUUUACUUUGCGAAGCAUGUCAUACAAGCAUCUACAGCAUCAAGUCACAGGGUUGGCAAGUGUAUUUUUGAACCUUCAAAGCAGUCACGCAUACGGAAGAGUAGUUUCUGAUCCCAUAGAAGGAGCACCGUACAAUGAGAGACCGCUCUUAGUUCUAAGGAACGCAGCAGGCGCGUAAAUUGCCCAAUGCUAGUACCCUACAAUCAAAUUGUAUUUACAUGCGUUAACAAUUUACAACAUACAAGUUUUAAUGACAGACAUUAUCAACACUUUCAUUUUUUCUGUUAUAUCAUACACAUAUAUCCUUGUUCGUUGUACAUCAGCAUAUAUAGUAUUAAUUUAUUAUUUUACUGAGGCAGUGACAAGCUGUAACGGUUGAGUAUAAAAAUGACGAGUGUCUGGCAUUGCCGCUCUUUCGGGAGCUUGGCAAGUUGCCGACGCUUUGUGUGNUCAAUUGGAAUGCGGUGAGUAAGCAACUCAGAACCUUUGGACGGCUGUUAGUAAAAUUUCACUGUUUACGUAUCUGAAUUCAAGKGAGGGCAAG
Molecule: ribosomal RNA, 1156 nt
Filed under: Cibicides ungerianus
Lineage: Eukaryota; Foraminifera; Rotaliida; Cibicididae
Description: SSU rRNA
Source: RNAcentral